AACCGCCGUGUACCGAACGGUACGCACGGUGGUGUGAGAGGUCGGGAUUUCUACUCAGAAAUCCCUCCUACUCGAU
This 76-nucleotide unclassified non-coding RNA is filed under the name Megasphaera elsdenii. Lineage: Bacteria; Bacillati; Bacillota; Negativicutes; Veillonellales; Veillonellaceae. The record is from RNAcentral.